This 497-nucleotide ribosomal RNA is filed under the name uncultured bacterium. RNAcentral describes it as "partial 16S ribosomal RNA". It matches the Rfam family "Bacterial small subunit ribosomal RNA", at positions 28 to 507 of the family's 1533-position model. The record is from RNAcentral.
GAUGAACGCUGGCGGCGUGCCUAAUACAUGCAAGUCGAGCGAACGGACGAGAAGCUUGCUUCUCUGAUGUUAGCGGCGGACGGGUGAGUAACGCGUGGAUAACCUACCUAUAAGACUGGGAUAACUUCGGGAAACCGGAGCUAAUACCGGAAAAUAUUUUGAACCGCAUGGUUCAAAAGUGAAAGACGGUCUUGCUGUCACUUAUAGAUGGAUCCGCGCUGCAUUAGCUAGUUGGUAAGGUAACGGCUUACCAAGGCAACGAUGCAUAGCCGACCUGAGAGGGUGAUCGGCCACACUGGAACUGAGACACGGUCCAGACUCCUACGGGAGGCAGCAGUAGGGAAUCUUCCGCAAUGGGCGAAAGCCUGACGGAGCAACGCCGCGUGAGUGAUGAAGGUCUUCGGAUCGUAAAACUCUGUUAUUAGGGAAGAACAUAUGUGUAAGUAACUGUGCACAUCUUGACGGUACCUAAUCAGAAAGCCACGGCUAACUACGUG